Molecule: long non-coding RNA, 215 nt
Filed under: Capsella grandiflora
Lineage: Eukaryota; Viridiplantae; Streptophyta; Magnoliopsida; Brassicales; Brassicaceae
Description: long non-coding RNA (CGRA_LNC000094)
Source: RNAcentral
ACAUGAUCAAAAAGAAAGAAAAAAUGAUAUUUCAUAAAUUGAAUCAAAUGCUUUUAAUCCAAUUUUGAGUACUGAAAGAUAAUAAUUAAAGAGAAAAUAAUUAUAAUAUUUUUUGAAAAUCAAUUAAAAAAUAAUAAAAUAUCACAAUAUGAAUAAAAAAUCAACAAAACAAAAUUAUAAACCUCCCGCGCGGAGCGCGGGUCAACUGCUAGUAU